Molecule: unclassified non-coding RNA, 336 nt
Filed under: soil metagenome
Description: partial contains 5.8S ribosomal RNA, internal transcribed spacer 2, and large subunit ribosomal RNA
Rfam family: 5.8S ribosomal RNA (bases 1-120)
Source: RNAcentral
GAUGAAGAACGAAGCGAAAUGCGAUAAGUAGUGUGAAUUGCAGAAUUCAGUGAAUCAUCGAAUCUUUGAACGCACAUUGCGCCCCUUGGUAUUCCAUGGGGCAUGCCUGUUCGAGCGUCAUUUGUACCUUCAAGCUUUGCUUGGUGUUGGGUGUUUGUCUCGCCUUUGCGUGUAGACUCGCCUUAAAAUAAUUGGCAGCCGGCGUAUUGAUUUCGGAGCGCAGUACAUCUCGCGCUUUGCACUCAUAACGACAGCGUCCAAAAGUACAUUUUACACUCUUGACCUCGGAUCAGGUAGGGAUACCCGCUGAACUUAAGCAUAUCAAUAAGCGGAGGA